This 285-nucleotide long non-coding RNA is filed under the name Homo sapiens (human). Its description in RNAcentral is "HSALNT0305440". The record is from RNAcentral. Lineage: Eukaryota; Metazoa; Chordata; Mammalia; Primates; Hominidae.
CUCAUAUUUCAGAGGAAAUCGCCAUCUCACUCUUACUUCAUGUGGCUGUCCUUACCACGUGACUAGGUCCGCAUCCAGUGUGUUUUGAGCCCCCAGGUGCUGCCUGAGCCCCUGUUUUAUGAAAAACAAAUUGUUGAAAGGAGAGAAAGUGAAGAACAGUUGAAGAGAGGAAGAGCGGCAGAAACAGCUGCCACUGAGUAGGGAUUGCAUCAUUUUGUUGUAAGUAUCCCUGCUAUAAGCCAUCUUUGUGGAAAGAGAUGGCGCAAAAACAGACGAGUAGACAAA